Long non-coding RNA from Columba livia (rock pigeon), 2452 nucleotides. RefSeq lists it as uncharacterized. The transcript is spliced from 3 exons. The record is from RefSeq and is a predicted model, not a curated record. NCBI's taxonomy places the organism in Eukaryota, Metazoa, Chordata, Aves, Columbiformes, Columbidae.
ACUGUUUUAGUCCUUGAUUUAAAUGAUUAUCAGCAAUAAUUACAUUUCUAAAGCAAUAACACUUCCCUAAAAACCAAGGACUUACUCAAAGAGGAUGCAUCACAAUAUGGACUAUAUUUCAAGACUGUUCCUUCUCACAGAAAUGCUUCUUUAAGCUUUGGGCCAGCACUGAUCUCAUGCUACUACAAGUAUGUGAUAGUGUAAUAAGGUUACAUUUGUCAUUGAGCCCCCUUUAGCAUUGCUUUAGGAGCAAACAUACACUUAUACACCUGCACAUAAACUUUGUUAUACUGAAUGAAUUGCUCAUCUCCACCAAAUAGCAGUGUGUUCAGGAAAGGCUUCUGUGCACACCUCUCAUGGGCAGAAGGCAGCUGGUGCUCACCAGAGCCCCAAGUAGCUUGGUGAAGGCUGCAAUGACACCAGCUGCAGAUGGGAAGACUGAGCAGCCCUGUGUGGGGGCAGGAGAACAGCUGAGCCUAUGGGACCAGAGUUGGAGCAGGUGCCUUGGGUUACCCUGAUCAGGAGCCAUAUAAUGGAUGGGGAGGGGGGAAUGGGGUGCUUGGAUCUAGUUUGGUGGUGUUCUGUGUGUGAUAGAGCUGCAGUUUUGUUCUGGCUUUCAGACAGAAUCAUGAAGAAGGAAAAUGAAAUAUGCCUCUGUUGGGUGACAUAAAACUCAUGUCUGGUUACCAGGAUAAACAAAUAUGUUUCUCUUGUGAAAGACUCACAGGAAGAGCCAACUGCUUUGCUGUGCCUUGGGACUGCUGUGCUUCUCAUGACAACUUGGUUCCUUGUGGGACCAGAAAUCUGCAGAGUUGCCUUGAUCUAUGAUACUCAGCAGCAACAGUUAAUUUUGUGUGGAGAGACAAAAAGAUGAUGUUGACCUUCAAGAGGGGAAAAAGCUUCACCCUACAGUUACCUGACUGCACCCACCUUCAGUAAAGGGAUUUUUACAUUUUGAUGUGAGCCUUGGUGGAGUAAAAUUUCCUUUGAGCUUGUGUGAACUCAUGUUGGUUUCUAACUGGUAACUUCAAGCUGUCCUGCCAAGGGAAUGUUCUAAUGUUAUGGGUAGUUCAGUGUCAUGUUAGUAAGUAACAUUUAAGUACAGCUUGCCUGGACUAAUCUUAAAGGUGGAAGAAUUUGAAAAUCACUUCAGGACUUUUACUUGCAUAUGCAAGUCAGUUAACAGCUCUUGGAGUUCAAGUGGGGUUUUAUCUGAUGUGUAGAGAUAGCACUGUACUUUUUCAUGGAAAUUGUUUGCUAGAUCCAGAACUCAUUAGUGAACUCUUAAUAGUUCAUCUCUGCAUUUGCCCCUGAACUGAGAUGCUGAUGGGUUGCCAAGACUUGUUUAAGCAAAAUACUCCCAGGGAAGCUCUCAGGAGUAUGAGAUCUGCACACCCUGACUUUCUCCCUUUGUCUCAGUAAAAAUAUAAAAGCUAUUUCAAGGCAUCUAAUGUUAGCAUCUGUUACUAAAAUAAAAUAAAGCAGUACAGGAUUUUUUUCCACUCUACAGCUUCAACCCUCCUUUCUGCAAUCACUUCCUCUCCCAGAACAGCUCAGCAUUAUAGCUAUUGGCACCUUGCAGCCAUGAAAUUACUCCAGGAUUAUUUCAUACAAAGGAAAAACUUAGCUGAGCAUUAAUAUUUUUAUUAAUAUAAACAAGUAGUUGCUGUAAACCCAAGUUAUUUGUCAUUCCUUCUCAAUGAAAAGCUGAAGCUGAGUUACAGCUUCUUAUUUUAAGUACGAAACGAAAUAUUUGGCAACUGCUUUAAAAACCCUUUCAUAUAAAACUUGAGAAAUGUGAUUUUUUCCCUUUUUCUGUGUGGAGUCAGGAAUUCCUCAUUUCAGGUACUAUGCCAUUUCUCUGGCUAAGUUUUGAGCCUGCUCAAAUACAUUAAUAAUAUAUAUUGCCUGUUAAAAUGACCUCUAAAAUUUGGAUAAGCUUUGGAGAAGUAUUGAAUAAUUAUGCUUUAAAAUUCUUAAAAUCUUUUUUACCUGUAUGUCAGGCUAUAUUAUUUCAGCCGCUCUUAUUUGGAUGCUACUUAGUGCCAUGCACUUUGUUAGUACUUGCCAAUUAUAAGAUAUGGAUAAUAAAAACAUAUUUGUGGUUUUUAUUUAGAAAUUCUAUUUAGAAUUUAUGUAUGAUGUGUAAUUAACUCAGUAUUACUGCAACUUGUACAAUAUCAUGGAAUAUUUCCUUCCUCAGUGUAAUAUGAUGGAACUUUAUUACUUGAAUUAGGAAGGCAAAUUAAGGGGAGACAGGAGUGCUUAAGUUUUCACUGUGCACCUUUUAAGCCAUACUGGAGCAAAUGAUGUUUCCAAGUAAUUAUUAAGAUAAACUUGUGAAUGUGAUCUGUUUUUUCCCUGAUUGUUAAUGUUCAAUGACUGAGAUGAUAAGGUUAUCCAGAAAUUAUGCACUCUGAUUUCUCCAGUACAAGGAGUCAAAGGAGGAACA